CCCCUCUCAGGAUGGCACCUGGAGAGUUUCCAGUACUCUACCAGUCUCGGCUAAAGGAGGGAGAGUCAAGUAGAGGCAUGCCCAUUCCAUUCCUAGCUUGGGCAGUGGCUAGCGAAUGGAAGGCAAUCUCCUUAAAGU
This is a small nucleolar RNA of Tachyglossus aculeatus (Australian echidna), 138 nucleotides long. The record is from RefSeq and is a predicted model, not a curated record. NCBI's taxonomy places the organism in Eukaryota, Metazoa, Chordata, Mammalia, Monotremata, Tachyglossidae.